This 440-nucleotide ribosomal RNA is filed under the name uncultured bacterium. RNAcentral's name for it is "partial 16S ribosomal RNA". It matches the Rfam family "Bacterial small subunit ribosomal RNA", at positions 338 to 795 of the family's 1533-position model. The record is from RNAcentral.
CCUACGGGCGGCAGCAGUGGGGAAUAUUGCACAAUGGGGGAAACCCUGAUGCAGCGACGCCGCGUGAGUGAAGAAGUAAUUCGUUAUGUAAAGCUCUAUCAGCAGGGAAGAAAAUGACGGUACCUGAGUAAGAAGCCCCGGCUAACUACGUGCCAGCAGCCGCGGUAAAACGUAGGGGGCAAGCGUUAUCCGGAUUUACUGGGUGUAAAGGGAGCGUAGACGGCAGUGCAAGUCUGGAGUGAAAGGCGGGGGGUCAACCCCCGGACUGCUCUGGAAACUGUACGGCUGGAGUGCAGGAGAGGUAAGUGGAAUUCCUAGUGUAGCGGUGAAAUGCGUAGAUAUUAGGAGGAACACCAGUGGCGAAGGCGGCUUACUGGACUGUAACUGACGUUGAGGCUCGAAAGCGUGGGGAGCAAACAGGAUUAGAUACCCUUGUAGUC